This 253-nucleotide ribosomal RNA is filed under the name uncultured bacterium. RNAcentral's name for it is "partial 16S ribosomal RNA". It matches the Rfam family "Bacterial small subunit ribosomal RNA", at positions 524 to 776 of the family's 1533-position model. The record is from RNAcentral.
UACGGGGGGGGCAAGCGUUGUUCGGAAUUACUGGGCGUAAAGGGCUCGUAGGCGGCCAACUAAGUCUGGUGUGAAAUCUAGGAGCUCAACUCCUAAACUGCACUGGAUACUGCUCUGCUAGAGGACUGGAGAGGAGACUGGAAUUCACGGUGUAGCAGUGAAAUGCGUAGAUAUCGUGAGGAAGACCAGUGGCGAAGGCGGGUCUCUGGACAGUUCCUGACGCUGAGGCGCGAAGGCCAGGGGAGCAAACGGG